Non-coding RNA from Solanum lycopersicum (tomato), 971 nucleotides. Lineage: Eukaryota; Viridiplantae; Streptophyta; Magnoliopsida; Solanales; Solanaceae. The record is from RefSeq and is a predicted model, not a curated record.
GAUAGAUUCUCAGCUCAGCUGGUAUCGUAAACUAAUAGUGUAAUUGAUCUUGGUUGUCUACUAUAUAUUGCAGGGUAUUUCUGUGGUGGUAUGUAAGAUCACUUUUCAUGUGUUGGUUGGUGAUACCUCAGUUAAAUGGGGCGUUUUAUUUAUACCAAAUUUUUGUUCAUCCAUAUUAGCAAUUCAAACUGCCCAAUGCUAUCACUCAUCUGUGUUCUGAAUGGCUUAAAAAACUGAAGAAGCAUUCAGUAUCUAUCAACAAAGAGACAUUUUUGGCUGUGGCAGAGAGUUGUCUUGAUGAGAAUGAUUCUCUGAUUGCAAACAAGAUUGAAAACAUAUCAACUUCAGCUAUACAGGUUCUCAGUAAACCUGUCAUUCCAGCAGUUGCAAUAUGCCCAGAUACUUCUUCUUCUCUAGCGGUAUUCCAGAGCAGGUGGACAUGUGAAAUAUGUCAAGUGACAGUCAGGUCUGAGCUGACACUGCAAUCCCAUCUUCGAGGGAGAAAACACAGGGCUGAAGCUAUGUUGUGGUGUACUUUCUGUAACUUGAGAGUCUCUGGUGAGAUUGACAUGAUUGCACAUCUUAAGGGGAAGAGGCACUUGGCAAAGCUUCAAGAGACUUAUACUGAUUCUGAAACGUCUUAGACUAUUUUGGUUGGUUAUUUCAAUACAUCCCAAGUUUCCAUUGCAAAGCAAGUUUGCUAUGAGAGUUGCCUGUUGUUAUAGGUCAACUUAGCCUGAUGGCAUAAAAGAUUACCUAUUGUCAUAUGUCGUUUAACAUUUUGGUGCAACAACAAUAUUCCCCAUCACUUUUUGGAACUAAAUUUUGCUUAAUUCAGUUUUUAUUCUAGUAUCAACUUGUGUUUUAUUAUUGAGAAUCUUUUGUUUCAAUUAUGAUACCAAUGAAAAGUGGUGGAAGGAUAGAAUAUAAUUAUAGGAUACUGGGGGAAAAUAAAAUCUGGUAACAAAAAA